AAGUUUAAGGUUGGCGCCUCCUGGUUGCCACGGCACACGAAACAGCGUUGGUUUCCAUAUACUGGCAUAAUGAAUCCGCAGCAAAGCGGGGGAGCAGAGCCCAUGUAUAUCAGGUCUGUUUCGUGUGCUGAAUUGUUGACGCAUUUAUUUAUUGGUAUCGCAUGAACCCCAUCGUAAUUAAUCGGCUUCAACGGAAGCUGGGCUACACUUUUAAUC
RNAcentral lists this small RNA (216 nucleotides) under Escherichia albertii. RNAcentral's name for it is "rncO". It matches the Rfam family "rncO". Rfam says of the family: This family represents a bacterial regulatory element (rncO) found in the rnc leader sequence. The rnc operon is negatively auto-regulated by transcript stability. rnc, the first gene in the operon codes for RNase III which cleaves the long rncO stem II leading to transcript degradation and a reduction in translation. Lineage: Bacteria; Pseudomonadati; Pseudomonadota; Gammaproteobacteria; Enterobacterales; Enterobacteriaceae. The record is from RNAcentral.